Molecule: ribosomal RNA, 525 nt
Filed under: uncultured bacterium
Lineage: Bacteria
Description: bacterial SSU rRNA
Rfam family: Bacterial small subunit ribosomal RNA
Source: RNAcentral
UGGGGAAUAUUGCGCAAUGGGCGAAAGCCUGACGCAGCAACACCGCGUGAGGGAUGACGGCCUUCGGGUUGUAAACCUCUUUCAGCUCCGACGAAGCGAAAGUGACGGUAGGAGCAGAAGAAGCACCGGCUAACUACGUGCCAGCAGCCGCGGUAAUACGUAGGGUGCAAGCGUUGUCCGGAAUUAUUGGGCGUAAAGAGCUCGUAGGCGGUCCGUUGCGUCUGCCGUGAAAACCCGGAGCUCAACUCCGGGCCUGCGGUGGAUACGGGCGGACUAGAGUCCGGUAGGGGAGACUGGAAUUCCUGGUGUAGCGGUGGAAUGCGCAGAUAUCAGGAGGAACACCGGUGGCGAAGGCGGGUCUCUGGGCCGGAACUGACGCUGAGGAGCGAAAGCGUGGGGAGCGAACAGGAUUAGAUACCCUGGUAGUCCACGCCGUAAAACGGUGGGCGCUAGGUGUGGGAUCGUUUCCACGAUCUCCGUGCCGUAGCUAACGCAUUAAGCGCCCCGCCUGGGGAGUACGGCCGC